GGGGAUGUAGCUCAUAUGGUAGAGCGCUUGCUUUGCAUGUGAGAAAUACGUGGAUUGAUACCCCGCAUCUCUA
Molecule: transfer RNA, 73 nt
Filed under: Ipomoea nil (Japanese morning glory)
Lineage: Eukaryota; Viridiplantae; Streptophyta; Magnoliopsida; Solanales; Convolvulaceae
Rfam family: tRNA
About the family: Transfer RNA (tRNA) molecules are approximately 80 nucleotides in length. Their secondary structure includes four short double-helical elements and three loops (D, anti-codon, and T loops). Further hydrogen bonds mediate the characteristic L-shaped molecular structure. tRNAs have two regions of fundamental functional importance: the anti-codon, which is responsible for specific mRNA codon recognition, and the 3' end, to which the tRNAs corresponding amino acid is attached (by aminoacyl-tRNA synthetases). tRNAs cope with the degeneracy of the genetic code in two manners: having more than one tRNA (with a specific anti-codon) for a particular amino acid; and 'wobble' base-pairing, i.e. permitting non-standard base-pairing at the 3rd anti-codon position.
Source: Rfam by way of RNAcentral